Pyrgilauda ruficollis (rufous-necked snowfinch) is the source of this 927-nucleotide long non-coding RNA. RefSeq lists it as uncharacterized. The transcript has 3 exons. Lineage: Eukaryota; Metazoa; Chordata; Aves; Passeriformes; Passeridae. The record is from RefSeq and is a predicted model, not a curated record.
CACCUCGCUCCGUGCUGGAAGCAAUAAACACAAAGCUUUUAAAGACUUUCUGACUUGACUAAUUGAGGUCGCUUUCGUCAGAGGCAGAGGAUGUGUAACCCUUAAAACGGUCUUCAUUUGCAAAGGAAACUCGCCUCCUUGGACAGCCAAGAGAACAAAAACCCUAAUCUUCUGAUGCUUUGGAACUUCUGCCAUGUUAAUUAUGGACUGCUUAGAGCACUGUACUUACCCAUAUGCUCAGAUACUGAUGAGAACGAAUAUGAGAAUCCUGCUCAGCAUUUCUUGUAUGAAAGCCUUAAAGUGUAAAACAGCAUACACUUUUUAAAAACAAUUGUAUAUUGAAAUUCUUAACUGUAUAGUGAUGCAACAAUGUUUUAUUUGGAGCUCAAUAAAGAAUUUCCAUCUACGUUCCUGUUAUAAAGCAAUAAUGUGACCUCCUUUUCUUUAGUGACUCUUUUUAGCCUUAUGCAGCAAGUGUGAGAGAGUGUGUGAAGUCUCAUGACUAGAACUUAAAUUCUUCUGGAAAUAGCUUGUCUAAUGUAUGAACAACAUGGAUAAGUUACAAUGAAGAUUGGUGUUUUCUGCUGAAGCUUUUUUUAAUAGUUAAUUGUAAACAAGUCUGCUCCAGACAGGACUCUUGGGUAGAAAUAAUGCUCCAACUUCUAUUUCCUUCAAAAACUUGUAUAACAAGAAGUGUUUAAUCCCUGUCAAUUAUACUAUGCUGCUUAUUCUCUUUCACUUGGCGUUUGAUGCAUAGAAAUCUUUUCUCUAAUACACAGUCACAGGUUUUCUAGUAGUAGAGUCUUGGAUGAGAAUUUUGCACCUUGAUAAAUCUUGUAUCCAACAGUCAUGUUUCCUCAGUGCUUUCUGUUUUAUAUUAAUUGUGAUUGUGAUAAUUUGUAACACAAAUAAAGUUCUGAUAAUUUA